This 609-nucleotide ribosomal RNA is filed under the name Kocuria sp. RNAcentral describes it as "bacterial SSU rRNA". It matches the Rfam family "Bacterial small subunit ribosomal RNA", at positions 74 to 695 of the family's 1533-position model. The record is from RNAcentral. Lineage: Bacteria; Bacillati; Actinomycetota; Actinomycetes; Micrococcales; Micrococcaceae.
UCCCGCUUGCGGGACGGAUUAGUGGCGAACGGGUGAGUAAUACGUGAGUAACCUGCCCCUGACUCUGGGAUAAGCCUGGGAAACCGGGUCUAAUACUGGAUACUACCUCCCGCCGCAUGGUGGGUGGUGGAAAGGGUUUUACUGGUUUUGGAUGGGCUCACGGCCUAUCAGCUUGUUGGUGGGGUAAUGGCUCACCAAGGCGACGACGGGUAGCCGGCCUGAGAGGGUGACCGGCCACACUGGGACUGAGACACGGCCCAGACUCCUACGGGAGGCAGCAGUGGGGAAUAUUGCACAAUGGGCGCAAGCCUGAUGCAGCGACGCCGCGUGAGGGAUGACGGCCUUCGGGUUGUAAACCUCUUUCAGUAGGGAAGAAGCGAAAGUGACGGUACCUGCAGAAGAAGCGCCGGCUAACUACGUGCCAGCAGCCGCGGUAAUACGUAGGGCGCAAGCGUUGUCCGGAAUUAUUGGGCGUAAAGAGCUCGUAGGCGGUUUGUCGCGUCUGCUGUGAAAGCCCGGGGCUCAACCCCGGGUCUGCAGUGGGUACGGGCAGACUAGAGUGCAGUAGGGGAGACUGGAAUUCCUGGUGUAGCGGUGAAAUGCGCAGAU